Molecule: unclassified non-coding RNA, 892 nt
Filed under: Anneissia japonica
Lineage: Eukaryota; Metazoa; Echinodermata; Crinoidea; Comatulida; Comatulidae
Description: prolactin-releasing peptide receptor-like, transcript variant X1
Source: RNAcentral
UACAGUUUAAAGACGAAAUUCGUUAGAUAUAUAUUAGUCGGCACACAUGUAGCGAAACAGGUAGGCCUAUACUCGUGUACUUUUGAUAAGAUUCUGAUCGAAAGGGAUUCCACGCGAAAAGUUCCUACAUAACACCUGUUUUUUCAUAGUUGCAAGUUGAAUGAAUAAAGUGUCUGGCGAGAUUCGAACCUACAACCUCUGUCAAAGCGAGUAUCAUACCCAUUAGACCACAAAGACCCAGAGAAUAUAUGUGCACCCCCAGACACUUUCUCUCAUACAACUGAAUGAAACGAUCACACAUAGUGGAGCAUGUGGCGUUUUAAAUAUAAACAUUACUCAGUGGACUACGAAGGAGACUUAACAAUUAAUAACAAAUCUCAAGACAGACAGUGUAUAUUUAUUGGACCUCAUUGGAUAUGGGCUGGACUCCGGCCUAUUGGGCGCCUGAUGCUCGUGAUGUAGACAAAGAAGCCACAACUAUCAGGAAAGAGUGUCCGGUCUCAAUCGUAAUUUCAUAUUCAGAAUUUUUGCAGAAAUAUUUUUGGCUGUUUAUGAAUAAUUAACUUACUAAUUAUUCAUAAAUAGCCAAAAAUCUUUCUGCAAAAAUUAUGAAUAUGAAAUUAAUUAAAAUAUAGUGUAAAUUUUAUUUUUAAAAUGUUUUCCUCUUCAAUAAUCUCAAAAAUAAAUGUUAGCAAUAUGUAGUAAUUCUUGUAUUAAUAUUGUAUUAUUACUGCUAAUGUUUGUCUUAUUAAUAGAGAAAGUAACCCGUUUGUUGUAAAGAAUAUAGACAUGUAUGAUAAUAAGAUAUAACAUUUUGAGGAUUAAAAUCAGAUUUAUUAAUUUUUUCCGGAUGUACAUGAUAUAGUCCUACAGUAUAUAAUUAUAAAAUGUA